UUAAGGCUGAGCUGUGAUGGGGAGAAGACAUUGUGUCUUCGAGUCGUUGAUUUCACACUGCCGAGAAAAGCCUCUAGAUAGAAAAUAGGUGCCCGUACCGCAAACCGACACAGGUAGUCAAGAUGAGAAUUCUAAGGUGAGCGAGCGAACUCUCGUUAAGGAACUCGGCAAAAUGACCCCGUAACUUCGGGAGAAGGGGUGCUCUUUAGGGUUAACGCCCAGAAGAGCCGCAGUGAAUAGGCCCAAGCGACUGUUUAUCAAAAACACAGGUCUCUGCUAAACCGUAAGGUGAUGUAUAGGGGCUGACGCCUGCCCGGUGCUGGAAGGUUAAGAGGAGUGGUUAGCUUCUGCGAAGCUACGAAUCGAAGCCCCAGUAAACGGCGGCCGUAACUAUAACGGUCCUAAGGUAGCGAAAUUCCUUGUCGGGUAAGUUCCGACCCGCACGAAAGGCGUAACGAUUUGGGCACUGUCUCAACGAGAGACUCGGUGAAAUCAUAGUACCUGUGAAGAUGCAGGUUACCCGCGACAGGACGGAAAGACCCCGUGGAGCUUUACUGUAGCCUGAUAUUGAAAUUCGGCACAGCUUGUACAGGAUAGGUAGGAGCCUUUGAAACGUGAGCGCUAGCUUACGUGGAGGCGCUGGUGGGAUACUACCCUAGCUGUGUUGGCUUUCUAACCCGCACCACUUAUCGUGGUGGGAGACAGUGUCAGGCGGGCAGUUUGACUGGGGCGGUCGCCUCCUAAAAGGUAACGGAGGCGCUCAAAGGUUCCCUCAGAAUGGUUGGAAAUCAUUCAUAGAGUGUAAAGGCAUAAGGGAGCUUGACUGCGAGACCUACAAGUCGAGCAGGGUCGAAAGACGGACUUAGUGAUCCGGUGGUUCCGCAUGGAAGGGCCAUCGCUCAACGGAUAAAAGCUACCCCGGGGAUAACAGGCUUAUCUCCCCCAAGAGUUCACAUCGACGGGGAGGUUUGGCACCUCGAUGUCGGCUCAUCGCAUCCUGGGGCUGUAGUCGGUCCCAAGGGUUGGGCUGUUCGCCCAUUAAAGCGGUACGCGAGCUGGGUUCAGAACGUCGUGAGACAGUUCGGUCCCUAUCCGUCGUGGGCGUAGGAAAUUUGAGAGGAGCUGUCCUUAGUACGAGAGGACCGGGAUGGACAUACCUCUGGUGUACCAGUUGUCGUGCCAACGGCAUAGCUGGGUAGCUAUGUGUGGACGGGAUAAGUGCUGAAAGCAUCUAAGCAUGAAGCCCCCCUCAAGAUGAGAUUUCCCAACUUCGGUUAUAAGAUCCCUCAAAGAUGAUGAGGUUAAUAGGUUCGAGGUGGAAGCAUGGUGACAUGUGGAGCUGACGAAUACUAAUCGAUCGAAGACUUAAUCAA
This 1373-nucleotide ribosomal RNA is filed under the name Staphylococcus aureus. RNAcentral's name for it is "partial 23S ribosomal RNA". It matches the Rfam family "Bacterial large subunit ribosomal RNA", at positions 1550 to 2925 of the family's 2925-position model. RNAcentral also lists the same sequence under 2 other names. Lineage: Bacteria; Bacillati; Bacillota; Bacilli; Caryophanales; Staphylococcaceae. The record is from RNAcentral.